Long non-coding RNA from Drosophila simulans, 713 nucleotides. RefSeq lists it as uncharacterized. The transcript is spliced from 3 exons. NCBI's taxonomy places the organism in Eukaryota, Metazoa, Arthropoda, Insecta, Diptera, Drosophilidae. The record is from RefSeq and is a predicted model, not a curated record.
UCAAUUCCAAGGCCGUCAUACGAAUUUAAUCUGAAAAUCUGCGUAGAAUUGGAAUUAAAAAUUCCACGAAUUUAUCCUAAGGAUAUUUGAAAACAGAAAAGUUUCUCUUUAUAAGCUUAAUUAUGUGAAAUGUGAUACGUUGCGAUUUGUCUUCGUAUUCAAACGGACUUUAAAGCUAAUUCGAAUGCCUAAAACAACUUGGACUCUGGCUUGAGUGCGCCCCACUUGUUGGCCCUGUCAAUUUUCUGGCCGAGUAGACCUCAAAUAGCAUUAACCUAAUGGCCAUUUGCUUGUGUAAAUAAACGAUUUGAGCUUUUUCGAAUGGAAUUGGGUCGGAUGAAGCGCGAUGAGCAAAUACUUGGGCAAGGACCUCCACCACACCUGGUGAUUAAACGCUAACUGUCUACUAACGUUCACGGUGCAUUUAUCUUCAUUUGUCGAAGGAGCCGAAGGAAAAGCAGAAGGACCUCGUCCUGCAGCAGCUGUCAACAAUUUGCCAACCGCAAAAUUGUCGAGGGAGCCAAGUGGGUGUUUGAAAUUCGGCAUAGGGAUUGGACUUGGACCACGCCUGCGAUUCUCUCGAGAAACUCACUAAUUUGCUUGAUUACUCCAGAGAAUAUCCGGCGGCUGAGAAAUUUGAAAUCUAUUAUAAAAGUUUUUUAGCCUCAAAAUGAAGGCCCACUUGGGACAGCUGGCUGAGAUGCCGUAGAAGG